Molecule: ribosomal RNA, 253 nt
Filed under: uncultured bacterium
Lineage: Bacteria
Description: partial 16S ribosomal RNA
Rfam family: Bacterial small subunit ribosomal RNA
Source: RNAcentral
UACAGAGGUCCCAAGCGUUGUUCGGAUUUACUGGGCGUAAAGAGCGCGCAGGCGGUCGUUCAAGUCAGGCGUGAAAGCCCCGGGCUCAACCUGGGAACCGCGCUUGAGACUGGCACGCUCGAGUUCGGGAGAGGAUGGUGGAAUUCCCAGUGUAGAGGUGAAAUUCGUAGAUAUUGGGAAGAACACCAGUGGCGAAGGCGGCUCACUGGCCCGAUACUGACGCUGAGGCACGAAAGCGUGGGGAGCAAACAGG